GGCAAAACAAUCGCAUGAGUGCUGCUGUUUGACUGAGGAAGAAUAAAGUAGUCGUGAAUCCAAAGGUCUCCUCAUUUGUGCUUCACAUCUUGUGUCUUCACAUAACUUCAAUUAGUCUUCCAACCAAACAAGUUUCAAGAUCUCCGUCAGGAUUGAUGGCUCUGACUUCACUUCCCUGUGUGGCGUGGGGUUGGUUUUGGACCUCACCUGUCUUGAUUCUUUUAAUGCACAGCACUAUUUUAGCACACAUUGCACUGCACCCACAGCUGUCAGACUCCUGAACGCUGCCUCCUGACAUCUGACCCACGUUAAACUCAUGGACUGAACAUACACACA
This is a long non-coding RNA of Oreochromis niloticus (Nile tilapia), 336 nucleotides long. RefSeq lists it as uncharacterized. The transcript is spliced from 3 exons. The record is from RefSeq and is a predicted model, not a curated record. Lineage: Eukaryota; Metazoa; Chordata; Actinopteri; Cichliformes; Cichlidae.